GGAUGAAGGGAGCUUGCUCCUGGAUUCAGCGGCGGACGGGUGAGUAAUGCCUAGGAAUCUGCCUGGUAGUGGGGGAUAACGUCCGGAAACGGGCGCUAAUACCGCAUACGUCCUGAGGGAGAAAGUGGGGGAUCUUCGGACCUCACGCUAUCAGAUGAGCCUAGGUCGGAUUAGCUAGUUGGUGGGGUAAAGGCCUACCAAGGCGACGAUCCGUAACUGGUCUGAGAGGAUGAUCAGUCACACUGGAACUGAGACACGGUCCAGACUCCUACGGGAGGCAGCAGUGGGGAAUAUUGGACAAUGGGCGAAAGCCUGAUCCAGCCAUGCCGCGUGUGUGAAGAAGGUCUUCGGAUUGUAAAGCACUUUAAGUUGGGAGGAAGGGCAGUAAGUUAAUACCUUGCUGUUUUGACGUUACCAACAGAAUAAGCACCGGCUAACUUCGUGCCAGCA
RNAcentral lists this ribosomal RNA (450 nucleotides) under Pseudomonas aeruginosa. RNAcentral describes it as "bacterial SSU rRNA". It matches the Rfam family "Bacterial small subunit ribosomal RNA", at positions 68 to 513 of the family's 1533-position model. Lineage: Bacteria; Pseudomonadati; Pseudomonadota; Gammaproteobacteria; Pseudomonadales; Pseudomonadaceae. The record is from RNAcentral.